AGCAGCCGCGGUAAUUCCAGCUCCAAUAGCGUAUAUUAAAGUUGCUGCAGUUAAAAAGCUCGUAGUUGAAUUUCGGGACCAUCAUGUCGGUCGUGCCUCGGUACGUACUGGCAUUGUUGGUCUCUCCCUUCUGACGAACCAUGAUGUCAUUUAUUUGGUGUUGUGGGGAAUUUGGACUGUUACUUUGAAAAAAUUAGAGUGUUUAAAGCAAGCUAACGCUUGAAUACAUUAGCAUGGAAUAAUGAAAUAGGACGUUCGAUCCUAUUUUGUUGGUUUCUAGGAUUGACGUAAUGAUUAAUAGGGAUAGUUGGGGGCAUUAGUAUUCAAUUGUCAGAGGUGAAAUUCUUGGAUUUAUUGAAGACUAACUACUGCGAAAGCAUUUGCCAAGGAUGUUUUCAUUAAUCAAGAACGAAAGUUAGGGGAUCGAAGACGAUCAGAUACCGUCGUAGUCUUAACCAUAAACUAUGCCGACUAGGGAUCGGAUGAUGUUAAUUUUUAAUGUACUCAUUCGGC
This 513-nucleotide ribosomal RNA is filed under the name uncultured Glomus. RNAcentral's name for it is "SSU rRNA". It matches the Rfam family "Eukaryotic small subunit ribosomal RNA", at positions 569 to 1084 of the family's 1831-position model. Lineage: Eukaryota; Fungi; Glomeromycota; Glomeromycetes; Glomerales; Glomeraceae. The record is from RNAcentral.